UAUUAGUCCCUAUUUGCUUUGGUAUGUUUGGUUUUAUCUUGGGUUUGAUUGUUUAGCUGGUUAGUUGGAGUUUUUGGUAUUGGCAAGUAACAGUGUUAGUGGUGACUGUUUGGUUUCUGAUUUUUUUUAAUUGCUUCUUUUAGUUUGGUUUUUUCCUAUUUUUUUCUUUUCCCUCUUUCUGUUGUAUGCAAUUAACAUUUUUGUAAUAGCCUUUCCUUGAAACCACAACCAUUUCAGUUCUCUGCCUUUCCUUGGUUUUAAAAUUUAUAUUCUCUGAAGUAAAUUUACUUUCUCUGUACAGAAUAUUUUCAGCUUCACUUUGUACCUCAAGGAACCAGGACACCUCAUGGCCCUGCUCCUGAUGCCCACUGGGGAGAGCCUAGACAGCGAACAUACAUGGUGUCUGAAUCCGACACAACCUCUGGUGCGUCACCCUACAGAACCUACACUAUGUCUGGAACGGACACAACCUCUGGUGUGACACCCUACAGAACCUACACUAUGUCUGGAACGGACACAACCUCUGGUGUGACACCCUACAGAACCUACACUGUGUCUGGAACGGACACAACCUCUGAUUCUUUUAAGCUUCCAUUCUUACCCCAUGGAACCAGUACACCUCGUGGUCCUGCUCCAGCUGCACACUGGGGAGCACCUAGACAACGAACGUACGUGGUGUCUGAAUCCGACACAACCUCUAGUGUGACACCCUACAGAAUUUAUAGCAUCUCUGAAACCAACAUACCCCACUGUGUGGUACCUAGCAGAAUCUACAGUUUGUCUGAAACCAACAUACCCUCCAGUGUGACACCAGGCAGUACAGGUGUUGGGUCAUCAAUGGACAUAUCCUCCCAUGUGAUACCCGGCAGACCUUACCGUGUGUCUUCAGCCAACACAUCCAAUGUGACACCCAGCAGAAGAGGCAUUGGGUCAUCACUGGAUACAUUCAUCAACCUAAUACCAACCACAACCGAUACUGGGUCAUCAAUGGAUGGGGUCAUCAAUGGAUGCAUCCUCACGCAUGACACAAAAUAGAACUUUUACCGUGUCUUCAGUCAACAUGCCCUCCAGUUUUACAGAGAACAGAACUGGUACUGGGUCUUCAGUCAACACAUCCUUCCAUUUCUGACCACACAGAACCAGUUCUUUGCCUUCAGUCAGAUCUUCCAGCCAGGAUGUCUCAUCCAGCACCAGGAGAAAUCAGGGAAUUUAAUUAUUGGAGUCCUGGUCAUGUCCGUUUUCAUAACCAAUAUCAUACCUUCUCUUCAAAUGGGAAAAACUCCAACAAUGUAGAAAGAGCUAAUUAAAGUACAGUUGUACCUACCUUUUGUUGUAGUUUAUUGUACGUGAUUUUUUUGUCCAUAAUUUCACAUUUUUAGAAAAUGUGCAUUCAUAUCUUCACAUUUCUGUGUUUCUAAUUUGUAUUAUACCAAAACACUUUUUAUUGCAGCUGUUAAUUUUUAUGUAGUGUACUAAAAUAUCAUAAAACAACAUCUUUAG
This 1500-nucleotide long non-coding RNA is filed under the name Cyanistes caeruleus (blue tit). RNAcentral's name for it is "lncRNA (ENSCCEG00000004246.1)". Lineage: Eukaryota; Metazoa; Chordata; Aves; Passeriformes; Paridae. The record is from RNAcentral.